Pseudopipra pipra is the source of this 4036-nucleotide RNA transcript. It is a transcript of the gene named lines homolog 1, with no coding region annotated. The record is from RefSeq and is a predicted model, not a curated record. Lineage: Eukaryota; Metazoa; Chordata; Aves; Passeriformes; Pipridae. The transcript is spliced from 7 exons.
CUAUGAGUGGUGACAGAGAGCAUUUUCUGGAACGUUGCAUGCCCUCAUGAUGAAGAUCUCCCUCCUGCAGCAGAUGUACAAGGAUGUCCUGGCAGGAAUUCCCUUAGCCAAGGAAAGCCAUCAUUAUUCCUCUUUACUUACUCUGAGUGUUGAGCAGCCAGCAGGAGGAGAUGAAUCCUGUCACCAGAGGCAUCUCCCACCUCCUGCUGCUGGUACUGGGAGCCAUCAGGACACUGAUAAGGUUGUCCCUGCAGCAGAUGAUUUAUCAAAGAGCUUUGCCAGCAUGAGCUCCUCGUUCUGUCCCCGAGAAGUGAUGCUGCUGCAGUUAACCCUGAUCAGGAUGAUGGUGGCCAAAGCAGAGUCCCAGCAAAUCGAAUCCAGCACCAGACUGAAGUACUGUGAGAUCUUUGUCCUUCUUCUGAAGGAGGCAAAAACUGACUCAAAACUGGUUUCUCUGCUCGGUCCCCACGAUCGGCUCUUAUCCCACCUGGCUUCCCAAAGUUUGGCAGCUCUGGUGUAUUUCCAGCUGAAGGAAGAGAAUGCAUUAAAUGUCACCUGGCUCAGCUUUACUCUGAACAGUCUCUUGGGAUUUCCCGGGAAUACCCCGGUUGCAGAUUGCCUGUGGACUCUGACAGCGGUUAUCAAGGAGACCCUGAGAGACGCGGGUUUACCCAAAGCAGGGGUUUUGAAGAAGUUGUUGGCUCCUCUUGAUGCUGUGCUCGAAGGAUUUUAUAAUGCCAUCCUGUUCCAUCAUUUUGACAGUCACUACUAUACUUCACCUUAUUCUGAAGCUACAACCAACCUGAUCAGUUUUAUAGAUCUACUGGAAGCACUUUUGGCCUCCAGAACUGAACUGGAAUUACCACUGAGGUGCCAGAGAGUGUUGUUUUUGAAAGUUUCUUAUAUCCUGAACCUCAUUAGCUCAUCAAUUCCCUAUGUAAUCAAGAAGAAAUUCAUUUUGCUCCUUAAAAAAUGUGUCCUUCACAAGUCUAGAGAAGAUGCUAGAAGUGGAUCAGUGUCCUUACAAGCCCUGCCUUUGUGUGAGGAUGUGCUUGCCCUGAGCAAUGCUGUUCUGCAGGUUGUGAGUUUGACUUGGCUUAAUCAGAUCCCGCUCGAUGAAAAGUCCAGCUACUUUGGAAGCAGUGAACCUGCUCCUGGAGAUGAUCCUCAAGGUGGUUCUGACCAAACUGUUCUCAGAGCCUUAAGUCUGGUUGUGCUUAAAGCACUGGAAUUCAAGAUUCACAACUCCACAGCAGAAGCAGAAAUCAAAGGAGACUUUGAGAGUUCCAUGUCCCAGCUGUUGAUGUUCUGGAGGAGUCACCUAAAGCCUUUCCCACAGUCUCACCCAGUUGUGCACCACUGUGAAUGGCUCUGCUUGAUUUUCAUGGAGCAAGAUGAUGACAUGUGGGAAGCUGCUAAAGCUUUAUUACUCAUUUAUUUAAAAUUGGAUAGGUUACAACACGAUGCUGCUGGUAACUUAAGCCAAGAAGAGGAGGACUCCUGGAACGUCCAUACUCAUGCAGGUGGAUACAAUCCACACUGUAUCUUCUUAUUUUUUCUGGAAAAGAUUGCAUUUGAUUCCUCAGUACUCCUAGAUUUUUUGAUUUCAUCAGAAACUUGCUUUCUGGAGUACUUGGUAAGGUAUUUAAAGCUCCUUAGGAGAGAGUGGCACCAGUUCGUAGCUGUCUGUACCCAUUUUGAUACCAAACACAGCGCUUGGCAGUCCGUGUCUCCUGCCAAGCCACCCCAUCCAGAAGAGCAAAGCUGUGUGACUGAUGAGAGUUUGCAAAACGCCGGUUGUGAACCAGCCCCACCGACUCCGCUGUCUUUGUCUUCCUCUCCCGAUGGCUGCGUGUUUACAGCAGAGCGAGGUGCUAAUGAAGCCGAGUGUGACUCACUGAUAAGCGCCGAUAGCGCGGCUCUGCCGGGGGCUCUGCCGGGCUCCCUUCAGAGCCUCCUUAAUUACGACAGCUCAGAAGACUCCGAGUUGGAAUCAGAUGGAAAAGAGUGCUUGGUAAACACAAAGCAGGUGCCUGCAAACAAUGAGGGUGAGAAGAGGAGAAGAGGAACUGGUUGCAGCUACACGGCUGAUAACUGGAAAAUCUGCACGUCUGAAGUGUUGCCUCUGAAACAGGAGGGAUCUCAUCCCUCAUCCUGUUGGACUCGUAUGACGUCCUUGGAUAACAUCAUUCCCUUAAGAAUAAUGCUUUAUAAAUCAACCAAGUGCUUGGAAGAGCUGCAACAAGCUAUUUCUAGGUUGCAGAGAAGAAAUCUUUUCCCAUAUAAUCCGACAGCAUUGUUGAAACUACUGAGCCACAUUGAGAAGAUGAGGAAGAACAUGAAUCCACAAUAAUCCAAAGCAUUCUGGUGGGGUUUUUUUAACUGGUACACCAGGGAAUAUUUCCAUGAGACUAAUGACUUCUGCAGCUCAUGCCUCUUGCACUAGUCAGUGUAUUUAACCUCAGGCAGGAUAAACAUGUUUUUGGUUGACACCUUAAAAAUCUACAGUUGGAGCCAGUGAUAUGAUCCAUGACCUGAGAGUCCUGGGCUUAUUCAUGAUGUAAUUUGAAUAACCUGAAAAGUGAGUGUCUGAGAGUUUGCUUGAGGGGAGCAAGUUCAGAACAGGAUGCAGCUCAGUGUGUGCACUUUGCAGGAAGGCACCUCAUGUUGGGACAUUUAAAGAGCAGCUUGUAGUGAUCCUGCAAGGGUUGGGCAGAGGGAAAGUACUGACAACAGGAAUGCUGGAAACAUCUCAGACCUCUGCAGAACUGUGAGAAAGAGUUUUCCUUCUAGGAUCUUCUCUUGAAGGUAAGUGCUUGGUUCUCAAUCAGAACAGAGCGUGUCCUCUCUUCCAUUUAAGUGGCUAUUUAGUGUUAAAUUAAAAUAAAUACUGAGGUAAGACAAAAAGAGUGUGUGGAGCAGGUGACUGACCCACAAAUCUCUGUGGCCAUCUUCUAGUCUUGAGCUCUGAACUGGUGAAUCAACACUUUUGGCAGGGGACGAAAACUGGGUGAAGCUUUUGGGAUAAUUUAGCUGGAAAUUACAGUGCUCUCCAGGAUGACAGUGGUAAUCACUUGGCAGUUAGAUGGGAAGGAGUGAUCCUCUUCACUGGCCUGAAGGAGAUCUGAAUAUUCUGAGUGUUCACUGUACUUUGGGCUCUUCCUGAGAUAACUGUUGUUGAGAGGAGUGGGUGAGAAUGUCAAGGAAUGGAACCCUUUCCAUUUGUGCCUGCAGAGACUUAGUUCAGAACUGCCCUUGCAGUUGUCCAGGGUACAGACAUGCCUGGUUUCUCUCCACUGUUUGAACUCAGUUGUGCUCUGGAUGCUGAGUUGCUCAUUUCUCUCAGGACUAAGAUCCCUCUGGGCACAUUCAAAGAUGCAACUCCAGACAACUUGGGAACUCUUCAGUUCAAACAUGGGAAGUGCCUUUGGCGAGGUGCUUGAGCAAGUGUUUCUCAAGAUCACGAUUGUAAAAGUAGGUAGGUAGGUAUAUUUCAGUGAAAUCUUUUCCACUCUCCUCACUCCUUUUCUAAUCUAGCCUUUGCUGACUAGUUUAUUUAAACUGAGCAAUUCCCUUGUUUUCACUGAACACAGGACUGUUCAGCAUUUCUUGAUCUGGGCUUGGCCGGUUGGAAGCACCUAAAUUGCAACAGUGUUUCUCAGACACUGAUAGGAUAAGGUUGGUGGGAAAGGUAAAAUGGGGAGAUAAUUUUGGAUGAGUCCUUGUCUUCUUGUUUAUCAGUAAUUACUACAACUAUCUAAAUGUUUUUAAAAUAAAAAGUUUAGACAUCUCAGAACAGUGUGUAAAAUUUAGCAAGAAAUGUAGGAGCCACAGCUUGAUUUUUUUUUUAAUUUUUUUUUUAAUACAGCAAAUUCAAUUGCAAUCCAACUGUAUGUAAUUCUUACAGGCUGUUUGUGUGCCCAGUUGGUUAUUAGUAGUGAUCAUUCCCACAUGUUUCCCUUCUCAGAAAGCCAUUGUUUUAAUUCUCAGGAUUUCUCAGUUGUAAAAGUGAGUAAAUGUGGUUUGUAUCUGGCAA